This is a long non-coding RNA of Cyprinus carpio (common carp), 1060 nucleotides long. RefSeq lists it as uncharacterized. Lineage: Eukaryota; Metazoa; Chordata; Actinopteri; Cypriniformes; Cyprinidae. The record is from RefSeq and is a predicted model, not a curated record. The transcript has 2 exons.
UGUCCGACGGGUGCAGAGAAUUAGAGCUUUCUCUCUCUCUCUCUCUCUCUCUCUUUCUCAAACUCUCUCUGGGUAGCAAAGCAGGGAAUAGUCGUCACUCAAGGACUAACCAGUGGUGAGACUGCAUAAUCAGGCAGAGUGGUUCCUGCAGUCCAAGUCUGUCUGAUCACAGCAAGCUUCAGUUCGCAGGGUGGACAGCUGCCGGGCACCAGCUGAUGAAGAUCAUGGAUUCGAUCGACAUCAAAUUCCAGCACAAAUAAAAGAUCCAGAUGAAUGCAAUAAUUUAUCCAGACGCAUAACGGCACAACAGGUCACCGGUGACACAACGGAGCAACUCUCCACAAAGAUCUGGCAACCAGCAGGUCAUAACCAAUAUGAUGCGCUGGAUUACAAAAAAAAAAAAAAAAAAAAAAAAAACUUUGCCAAAAGUGCCUAUUGUAAACUCAAGCACAAACAGUUCCCAGGCCCCUCAGAAACUGCACACAGCGUUCAGACAAGAAAAAGGGGAGGGGGGCGUCCGCUUAAAACCGCUUCUGGAUCUUGAUGUAAGCUUUCUGAAUGUGCAGUUUCGUCCCUUGGUUCUAGACAAUCUGCUCUAAAUCACUCCAGGUUGAUUAAAAUCCUCCCAUCCAGAAGUGUAGGGUUCUCCAGUCCAGAUAGAGCUCAGUCCAAGAUGGCUGCGUGCUGGCUGAUGGUGCCAAGCCAAACCCAGCGCAGCGCAGCGCAGCCGGAGGAAGUGAGGACAGAGGCGGCUGCACGAGCUCAUUGGCCGGCGCGCCGCUGUUUGUUGUUGCUGGGGUGAUUACUAAGGAGAAAAAUGUACCUGUCUGUCGCACAAAAACCCGGCAAAAUUACUCAGUGCUCCGUGGUAGCAUCGCCCAUCCCAGUGACGCUCGUGACCAUGAGCAUGUAGGACUGUGGAGAGCAUGUAACUAGUUCAGAAAAAGUCUGUGAAUGUUUUACCUUGUUCCAUAGUACAGUGUACACAGUAACAUGUACACUGGAGUACAAAGUAAAUACUGUGUUAAAAUAAAUACAAAUAAAAAUCACUACGCUAGUA